CCUCAGCAGAGCCCUGGGGAGUCUGCACCAUGGCCUGGACCCCACUCCUCCUCCUCCUCACUCUCCUCCUUCACUGCACAGGGUCUCUCUCCCAGCCGGUGCUGACUCAGUCGCCCUCUGCCUCUGCCUCCCUGGGAGGCUCGGUCAAGCUCACCUGCACUCUGAGCAGUGGGCACAGCAGCUACACCAUCGCAUGGCAUCAGCAGCAGCCAGAGAAGGCCCCUCGGUACUUGAUGAAGCUUAACAGUGAUGGCAGCCAUAGCAAGGGGGACGGGAUUCCUGAUCGCUUCUCAGGCUCCAGCUCCGGGGCUGAGCGCUACCUCACCAUCUCCAACCUCCAGUCUGAGGAUGAGGCUGAUUAUUACUGUCAGACCUGGGAUACUGGCAUUCACACAAUGACUGCUCUGCAGGUCACCUCUGUGUCAUUGCCGAGAGUCCUGGUCACAGGGAUCUGGGUCGGUGUCAGCCUGACUGUGAUUCAGCUGGGUGACUGCCCCUUCAGGACACAAAUCCAAUUACUGGAGCCCUGA
Molecule: non-coding RNA, 530 nt
Organism: Rhinopithecus roxellana (golden snub-nosed monkey)
Lineage: Eukaryota; Metazoa; Chordata; Mammalia; Primates; Cercopithecidae
Source: the annotation of a RefSeq genome assembly